Molecule: ribosomal RNA, 465 nt
Filed under: Vreelandella stevensii
Lineage: Bacteria; Pseudomonadati; Pseudomonadota; Gammaproteobacteria; Oceanospirillales; Halomonadaceae
Description: partial 16S ribosomal RNA
Rfam family: Bacterial small subunit ribosomal RNA
Source: RNAcentral
CCUACGGGUGGCAGCAGUGGGGAAUAUUGGACAAUGGGGGGAACCCUGAUCCAGCCAUGCCGCGUGUGUGAAGAAGGCCCUCGGGUUGUAAAGCACUUUCAGUGAGGAAGAACGCCUGGUGGUUAAUACCCAUCAGGAAAGACAUCACUCACAGAAGAAGCACCGGCUAACUCCGUGCCAGCAGCCGCGGUAAUACGGUGGGUGCGAGCGUUAAUCGGAAUUACUGGGCGUAAAGCGCGCGUAGGUGGCUUGAUAAGCCGGUUGUGAAAGCCCCGGGCUCAACCUGGGAACGGCAUCCGGAACUGUCAAGCUAGAGUGCAGGAGAGGAAGGUAGAAUUCCCGGUGUAGCGGUGAAAUGCGUAGAGCUCGGGAGGAAUACCAGUGGCGAAGGCGGCCUUCUGGACUGACACUGACACUGAGGUGCGAAAGCGUGGGUAGCAAACAGGAUUAGAUACCCUUGUAGUC